CUCCAAAUGCCAGCUGCUUUGUUCAUUGUGGAAUGAGGUGUAGUUAAAUGUGUUUGUGUUUUGGAAAGGUAUUGCAUUACCUUACUCUCCACCUUUUGCUUUGGUAAUCAGUAAUCAGUAAUUCAGUAAUCAUCUCACUAAGUAUGCCUUUUCAUUUCCAAUCUGUUCAACAGAGUUAACAAGUCAGACCACCACUCCUCCGUCAACUUCGCCCACAUCUCUGCCAGUACCACCCCAGCAAGAUUUUUACAGACUUGUUCUGCAGCACCUCCGCACAAUUGAGGAGGAGCUGAAGGAGGUGAAGCAGCAGGUGGCGGUCAACACAGCCAUGAUACAGAGACUAGGUGGUGGUGGUGUGGCAGAUCUCGGCCUUGUGGAAGACACCAACAUGCCAUUGAGCAAUGCCGAGGACCUGGACGAGCUGGAGAGGCGGCUUAUAUCUGAUGUGGACCUAAAAAAUCAACUGGUGAACAUACUUGCUAUUUUGGGAGGGAAAACCACCAAAGACGCAGUGAAGAGGAUGCUGGGCCGGGCUUUCAGGAGGUCCCUGGCGCUCCAAAUUAAUUGGACUGGCGCAGCUGGAAAGAUCGCUUUCAAGUCCCUAAACCUGA
Molecule: long non-coding RNA, 611 nt
Organism: Gadus morhua (Atlantic cod)
Lineage: Eukaryota; Metazoa; Chordata; Actinopteri; Gadiformes; Gadidae
Exons: 3
Source: RefSeq, a predicted model, not a curated record